AGCCUGUGGCCAGAGUCUCCACCUGUGGGGGAUGCCCAAGGCCUGGCUUCAGGCUGUGGGAGAGCAGAGGAGGAGCCGGAAGAGCAGCCUCCAACAGCUGCCGGGAGGCACCAGGCUAGUUCACACUUGGAAGUUGGGAUGCCAGGACCAGCCCUCUGCCUUCCUCUGCCUCCUGGCCAACUCCCUCCACACUGAGAAGGACUUUGGGACCCCAACCGUUUGACCACAGGCACUCUCUGCUAUGUCUCCUCUGCUCAGAUUCUGAAUUAAGAUGCUCCCGCCCCACCUCUGCCCACUGUGGCCGUUCACAGGGACUCCGCUAGAAGAAACAGAGU
Molecule: long non-coding RNA, 335 nt
Organism: Microtus ochrogaster (prairie vole)
Lineage: Eukaryota; Metazoa; Chordata; Mammalia; Rodentia; Cricetidae
Exons: 3
Source: RefSeq, a predicted model, not a curated record